This 553-nucleotide long non-coding RNA is filed under the name Rattus norvegicus (Norway rat). RNAcentral describes it as "long non-coding RNA NONRATT019849". The record is from RNAcentral. Lineage: Eukaryota; Metazoa; Chordata; Mammalia; Rodentia; Muridae.
CAGAUGCUGCCUCAGCAAGGGCCUGUGAGCAACAGUCCAUCUCAGGUUAUGGGGAUUCAGGGGCAGGUUCUGCGGCCACCAGGACCCAGCCCACACAUGGCCCAGCAACAUACUGAUCCUGCUACUACAGCAAAUAAUGAUGUCAACUUGUCUCAGAUGAUGCCUGAUGUUAGCAUGCAACAAACCAGCAUGGUCCCUCCACAUGUGCAGAGCAUGCAGGGAAACAGUGCUUCGGGAAGCCACUUCUCAGGCCAUGGAGUGUCUUUCAAUGCACCAUUCGGUGGUGCACCCAAUGGAACUCAGAUGUCUUGUGGUCAAAAUCCAGGCUUUCCAGUAAAUAAGGAUGUAACGUUAACAAGCCCAUUGUUGGUCAACUUACUGCAAAGUGACAUUUCAGCAGGUCAUUUUGGCGUAAACAAUAAACAAAAUAAUACCAACGCGAAUAAACAGAAGAAGAAGAAACCACCGCGGAAGAAGAAAAAUUGUCACCAGGAUCUAAACACCCCAGAUAGUCGUCCAGCUGGUCUAGAGGAAGUUGAUCAACAGUCAUUAC